Molecule: RNA transcript, 808 nt
Organism: Pseudophryne corroboree (corroboree frog)
Lineage: Eukaryota; Metazoa; Chordata; Amphibia; Anura; Myobatrachidae
Gene: ZNF706
Gene name: zinc finger protein 706
Exons: 5
Source: RefSeq, a predicted model, not a curated record
CAGCUCCUUGUUCCCCUGGAUACGGCCGUGUGCAGCGCGCCUGCGCAGUGGCUACCCGAGCCGAGAGAGAAGAAGAGGAGGAGGGUCCGUGGGCAGCGCAGGUCCGGAUACAGGCGGUUCUACUACGCUCUGCCUCCCCCCCUCUUCCCGGUUGUAGCAGAGACCGCUGCACGCCGCUCCGCCGGAGCCCGCCUGCCUGACGGUGACUGAGGUAAUCCCGGCCAGGAUAUGGCUCGAGGACAUCAGAAGAUUCAAUCGCAACAGAAAAAUGCCAAGAAACAAGCAGAACAGAAGAAGAAACAAGGGCACGACCAGAAAGCUGCAGCUAAAGCCGCUCUAGUAUUCACCUGCCUUGUCUGCCGGACACAAAUGCCAGAUCCCAAAACCUUCAAGCAGCACUUUGAGAGCAAACAUCCGAAGGUCCCACUGCCUCCAGAGCUGGUUGAUGUUGAGGCAUAGAUCAAAAGGUGUGAACUUGCCUACCUGUCACCUGAUAUGUCCAGCCCUGUUAUAGAAGCUCAGAACCUGACUUCAUAGUGCAGAAGAACAAAUGGCUAUGUAGUGCUAAACCAGGGAAAUCCUUCAGUGCACCGACUGUUCUCGGGUGGUUUAUCUGAAAGGGGCUCUUGAAACCACGUUUUUAUGCUGUUCCCUUCAAGAGGGUUCAUACGGACCUCUAAAUGUACAGUUAUUUACUAAUUUGUAAAUCUCAAGUUGGGCAAUACUCAAUUUUUUACAGUUGUAAUUAUAUUGAUUUCAUGUCCAUAAUGUGUAUAAUUUGUUCAAUAAAAGGAAUACCUUGAUUUUA